UUAAAUUAUUAAGAGCGCAUGGCGAAUGCCUUGGCACUAGAAGCUGAUGAAGGACGUGACGAACAACGAUAUGCUUCGGGGAGCUGUAAGUAGCUUUGAUCCGGAGAUUUCCGAAUGGGGAAACCCACUGAUAGUAAUGUGUCAGUAUCAUGCAGUGAAUUCAUAGCUGUAUGAGAUGAACCCGGUGAACUGAAACAUCUUAGUAGCCGGAGGAGUAGAAAGAAAAAUCGAUUCCCUUAGUAGUGGCGAGCGAAAGGGGAACAGCCCAAACCAAUCUUCGGAUUGGGGUUGUAGGACUUCUCAUUAAGAGUAAAAAAUUCAUAAUAUAGUUGAAGUAUCUGGAAAGAUAUACCGUAGUAGGUGAUAGUCCUGUAAAUGAAAUAUUAUGAACUCUGAGGAGUAUCCUGAGUAGGGCGGGGCACGUGAAACCCUGUCUGAAUCUGCGGGGACCAUCCCGUAAGGCUAAAUACUCUCUAGUGACCGAUAGUGAACAAGUACCGUGAGGGAAAGGUGAAAAGAACCCCGGGAGGGGAGUGAAAUAGAAUACUGAAACCAUGUGCUUACAAGAAGUCAAAGCCCGUUAAUGGGUGAUGGCGUGCCUUUUGCAGAAUGAACCGGCGAGUUAUUGUUGCAUGCAAGGUUAAGUUGAAGAGACGGAGCCGAAGCGAAAGCGAGUCUGAAUAGGGCGCUUUAGUAUGCAGUAAUAGACCCGAAACCGAGUGAUCUAUCCUUGAGCAGGUUGAAGUGGUGGUAACACACCAUGGAGGACCGAACCGACGUCUGUGAAAAAGGCGCGGAUGACUUGAGGAUAGCGGAGAAAUUCCAAUCGAACUCGGAGAUAGCUGGUUCUCCCCGAAAUAGGUUUAGGCCUAGCCUUCUAAUUAGUUACCUGGAGGUAGAGCACUGAAUGUAAGAUGGCGGCGUAUAGCUGUACUGAUUGCAAUCAAACUCCGAAUGCCAGGCUAAUAUGUAGAGGAGUCAGUGUAUGGGUGAUAACGUCCAUACGCGAGAGGAAAACAAUCCAGACCGCCAGUUAAGGUCCCAAAAUUUAUGCUAAGUGGGAAAGGAUGUGGAGUCGCUAGAACAGCUAGGAGGUUGGCUUAGAAGCAGCCAUCCUUUAAAGAGUGCGUAAUAGCUCACUAGUCGAGUGGCACUGCGCCGAAGAUGUACCGGGGCUAAAGCAUAAUACCGAAACUGCGGAUUACUUUGUAAUGGUAGGGGAGCGUUCUAAGUGCGCUGAAGGUUGAUCGUAAGGACAGCUGGAGCGCUUAGAAGUGAGAAUGCCGGUAUGAGUAGCGCAAGACGUGUGAGAAUCACGUCCACCGUUUGCCCAAGGUUUCCUGGGUCAAGUUCGUCUUCCCAGGGUUAGUCGGGUCCUAAGGCGAGGCCGAAAGGCGUAGUCGAUGGACAACAGGUUGAUAUUCCUGUACCACCUAUAUGACUGAUGGAGUGACGAAGGAGGCUAACAAGUGCCUGUUAUUGGAUUCAGGUCUAAGCACAAAGGCUUAUAUGUAGGGAAAUCCGCAUAUUGGUAGGCUGAAGUGUGAUGGCGAAGAAAGUAGCAAUACAAUCGAAGACUUGUGACGCCAAACUUCCAAGAAAAGCUUCUAGGGUUAAUCGUAUAGGUGCCCGUACCGAGAACCGACACAGGUGGGCAAGGAGAGUAUCCUAAGGUGAGCGAGAGAACUAUGGUUAAGGAACUCGGCAAAAUGACCCCGUAACUUAGGGAUAAGGGGUGGUCUGGCGACAGACCCGCAGUAAAGAGGCCCAGGCGACUGUUUACCAAAAACACAGCUCUCUGCUAAGUCGUAAGACGAUGUAUAGGGGGUGACACCUGCCCAGUGCUGGAAGGUUAAGAGGAUGGCUUAGAAAUGACGCAAGUCGAUAUGUUUCGAAGGUCAGAAUUGAAGCCCCAGUGAACGGCGGCCGUAACUAUAACGGUCCUAAGGUAGCGAAAUUCCUUGUCAGGUAAGUUCUG
RNAcentral lists this ribosomal RNA (1978 nucleotides) under human gut metagenome. RNAcentral describes it as "bacterial LSU rRNA". It matches the Rfam family "Bacterial large subunit ribosomal RNA", at positions 1 to 1985 of the family's 2925-position model. The record is from RNAcentral.